Molecule: transfer RNA, 82 nt
Organism: Gasterosteus aculeatus (three-spined stickleback)
Lineage: Eukaryota; Metazoa; Chordata; Actinopteri; Perciformes; Gasterosteidae
Rfam family: tRNA
About the family: Transfer RNA (tRNA) molecules are approximately 80 nucleotides in length. Their secondary structure includes four short double-helical elements and three loops (D, anti-codon, and T loops).
Source: Rfam
GUUGUUGUGGCCGAGAGGUUAAGGCGAUGGACUCGAAAUCCAUUGGGGUCUCCCCGCGCAGGUUUGAGUCCUGCCAGCAACG